UGCCAGCUGGAAUAAACACACGCUGAGAAAUAGCUCUGUGCCUGCCUACUUUAUGGGUUGGAUAUUAACCGAUGGAUAACGGAGACAUAUAUAAUAGUCUCCUUCUUGUUGUGUGUGCAGUUGCGCCCUGAGCUCCAAAAGCCGUGGAUGUUUUAACAUGACUGGGCCGGCACGCUAUUUAUAUGGAGGAAAAGCGGUCAUGACGACAGACUGUCCUUACUCAGGUCCGGCUGGAAAUCGGGAAAAAUCCGGAAGAAUGGUUGUCCUGGGAGAUUUUUGGGAGAGGCACUGAAAUUCGGGAGUCUCCUGGAAAAUUCGGGAGUGUUGGCAACUGGGCAACAGGCUGCUCAACUGUCUGGAGUUGCGCUUUAAGGUGGUCAGGUCUCUCAACAUCAUCACAGACAGUUGCAUGAACCAGCACAACCGCGUCUUCUCCUUCCACCUUCCAGCUGCAGCUCAAACUGGUCUGGAGCCUCAGAGACGUCUGGUUUCACCUCAAGAGAACU
Nerophis ophidion (straightnose pipefish) is the source of this 506-nucleotide long non-coding RNA. RefSeq lists it as uncharacterized. The transcript is spliced from 3 exons. The record is from RefSeq and is a predicted model, not a curated record. NCBI's taxonomy places the organism in Eukaryota, Metazoa, Chordata, Actinopteri, Syngnathiformes, Syngnathidae.